This 662-nucleotide long non-coding RNA is filed under the name Mytilus galloprovincialis (Mediterranean mussel). The record is from RNAcentral. Lineage: Eukaryota; Metazoa; Mollusca; Bivalvia; Mytilida; Mytilidae.
GGAUAGUUGUCUCAUUGUUUAUUCGUUUGUCCUUGGUGGAUAGUUGUCUCAUUGUUCAUUCGUUGGUCCCAGGUGGAUAGUUGUCUCAUUGUUUAUCCGUUGGUCCCUGGUGGAUAGUUGAGUUCAUUGUUUAUUCGUUGGUCCCUGGUUGAUAGUUGUCUCAUUGUUUAUUCGUUGGUCCCUGGUGGAUAGUUUUUCAUUGUUUAUCCGUUGGUCCCUGGUGGAUAGUUGUUUCAUUUGUUUAUUCGUUGGUCCCUUGUGGAUAGUUGUCUCAUUGUUUAUUCCGUUGGUCCCUGGUGGAUAGUUGUUAUUGUUUAUUCGUUGGUCCCGUCGUGUUGAUAGUUUCUCAUUGUUUAUUCGUGUCCCUGGUCCCUGGAUAGUUGUUUCAUUGUUUAUCCGUUGGUCUGGGAGUUGUUCAUUGUUUAUUCGUUGGACCCUGUGGAUAGUUGUUUUCAUUGUUUAUCCGUUGGUCCCUGGUGGAUAGUUGUUUCAUUGUUUUUUCGUUGGUCCCAGGUGGAUAGUUGUGUUCAUUGUUUAUUCGUUGGUCCCUGGUGGAUAGUUGUGUUCAUUGUUUAUUCGUUGGUCCCUGGUUGAUAGUUGUGUUCAUUGUUUAUUCGUUGGUCCCUGGUUGAUAGUUGUGUUCAUUGUUUAUUCGUUGGUCC